UGGGGAAUAUUGGACAAUGGGGGCAACCCUGAUCCAGCAAUGCCGCGUGUGUGAAGAAGGUCUUCGGAUUGUAAAGCACUUUCGACGGGGACGAUGAUGACGGUACCCGUAGAAGAAGCCCCGGCUAACUUCGUGCCAGCAGCCGCGGUAAUACGAAGGGGGCUAGCGUUGCUCGGAAUGACUGGGCGUAAAGGGCGUGUAGGCGGUUUACACAGUCAGAUGUGAAAUCCCCGGGCUUAACCUGGGAGCUGCAUUUGAUACGUGUAGACUAGAGUGUGAGAGAGGGUUGUGGAAUUCCCAGUGUAGAGGUGAAAUUCGUAGAUAUUGGGAAGAACACCGGUGGCGAAGGCGGCAACCUGGCUCAUGACUGACGCUGAGGCGCGAAAGCGUGGGGAGCAAACAGGAUUAGAUACCCUGGUAGUCCACGCCUGUAAACGAUGUGUGCUAGAUGUUGGGUACUUUGUUAUU
RNAcentral lists this ribosomal RNA (468 nucleotides) under uncultured bacterium. RNAcentral describes it as "partial 16S ribosomal RNA". It matches the Rfam family "Bacterial small subunit ribosomal RNA", at positions 355 to 840 of the family's 1533-position model. The record is from RNAcentral.